RNA transcript from Dendrobium catenatum, 1566 nucleotides. It is a transcript of the gene named serine/threonine-protein phosphatase PP1, with no coding region annotated. The record is from RefSeq and is a predicted model, not a curated record. The transcript is spliced from 5 exons. Lineage: Eukaryota; Viridiplantae; Streptophyta; Magnoliopsida; Asparagales; Orchidaceae.
UUAGGAGUCUAUUAUGCUUCCUCUAGCGGCGGUAACGUUCAGACUCCAAGAAAGGAACUUUUUCGGCGGCAAAGGCGAGCACAGAGACGGAGAGACCGGUCGAAAUUUGAGCUCUGUUCAUACGCUUAAUUUAAUAUCUUUUCAUUUCCCCUUCCAUCUGAGGAUCUUUAAACCGCUAGAGGUUAGGGUUUCGAGGAGCUGACCGCCACGGAUGCCGAUGGACGAUGGGUUGUUGAACGACAUCAUACGGCGGCUACUGAGUGCGAAGAACGGGCGUUCGACGAAGCAGGUCAAUCUUACCGAGGUCGAGAUUCGAAAGCUCUGCUUUGCGUCCAGGGAGAUCUUUCUCAGCCAGCCCAACCUCUUGGGGCUUGAAGCGCCCAUCAAGAUUUGCGGGGAUGUUCAUGGGCAAUAUUCUGAUCUUCUCCGCUUAUUUGAAUAUGGUGGCUUUCCCCCCGCAGCCAACUAUUUGUUCCUAGGUGACUAUGUUGAUCGUGGAAAACAGUGCAUAGAAACCAUCUGUCUCCUCCUAUCAUACAAGAUCAAGUAUCCAGAGAACUUCUUCCUUCUAAGGGGAAACCAUGAAUGUGCCUCCAUCAAUCGUAUCUAUGGAUUCUAUGAUGAAUGCAAGAGAAGAUUUAAUGUUCGCCUUUGGAAGGUUUUUACAGAAACCUUCAAUUGCCUUCCAGUUGCUGCACUUAUUGAUGAAAAGAUACUUUGUAUGCAUGGGGGAUUGUCACCAAGUUUAAAGCACCUGGAUCAGAUAGAGAAUAUUGUGAGGCCAACUGAUGUGCCUGAUCAAGGUCUUCUUUGUGAUCUUUUAUGGGCUGAUCCCGAUAAAGAUAUUCAAGGUUGGGGGGAAAAUGACAGAGGUGUAUCUUAUACAUUUGGACCAGACAAACUUUCAAAAUUUCUCCAGAAGCAUGAUUUGGAUCUCAUCUGCCGAGCUCACCAGGUUGUAGAAGAUGGUUAUGAGUUCUUUGCAAGUAGAAAGCUGGUCACAAUAUUUUCUGCGCCAAAUUACUGUGGGGAGUUUGACAAUGCUGGUGCCAUGAUGAGUGUCGAUGAUGCUUUGACAUGCUCAUUUCAGAUCCUCAAGCCUGCAGACAAGAGAGUAAAAUUUGGAUUUGGGAAUGGAGUGAUAAAACCCGGAACACCACCUAGAAAGGCUUUUCAUUUUCAACCGCUACAAGAUCAAUGAUACCAUGAGCUUGGACUUCUGUUGCUGACAUAAAAACAUCCCUUUCCAUAUCUUCGAAUAUAACCCAGUUGCCCGUUCUUUGUACAUAAACUUUUGGUUGAAGAGAUUGAAUUCUAUCGCCUGGCCUUUUCAGCUACAAAUCGAAUACAGUUUUUUAUGCUUGAGGUUAUCCUUCUGGACCUCCAACAUUUUGUACAUAGUUAUAUAGGAAAUGCUGUUCUGUAGAUGCCAAGGUAAUGAUACUAUGCAAAUGUAUAAUAUAGUUGUUUACUUAUAUCUUCACAGCUAAUUGUGACUUUUACAAGUCAUAACAAUUUGAGUAAAAAAGUUUUGCUCAGCAUAUUUCUGAGCUAAAAUUUAGAAUA